Molecule: long non-coding RNA, 375 nt
Organism: Sycon ciliatum
Lineage: Eukaryota; Metazoa; Porifera; Calcarea; Leucosolenida; Sycettidae
Exons: 5
Source: RefSeq, a predicted model, not a curated record
UAACUCGUUGCGCAUUAUUUCUGUUGAGGCAGUUUCUUCUUGUCACACUGGCUUUUCGUCUCUUCUUACCGUUGGUUCGCUGCAAUUACUUGUCUUCGUCCAUUCGCCUGACUCGUCAGACUUUCUUUACCAGGAUCAUGGUUGUCACCGUAGAUGUCACCUACUGUGGUGGAUGAGGGUACGCCCCCAAGUAUCGCCAACUUUCGGCGAGCUUGGCUGACGAAUUCGGCGACAAAGUGACUUCCACUGGCACCGCGUCCGCCACCGUUACCGGCGAAUUUGAAGUAACCGUAGCCGGAAAGAAGGUCCACUCCAAGCUGGGCGGUGAUGGCUUUGUCGACAACGAAGACAAGCUGCAGAAGAUCAUCAAGGCCA